CCGGCGCACGGGUGAGUAACACGUAUGCAAUCCACCUGUAACAGGGGGAUAACCCGGAGAAAUCCGGACUAAUACCCCAUAAUAUGGGCGCUCCGCAUGGAGAGUUCAUUAAAGAGAGCAAUUUUGGUUACAGACGAGCAUGCGCUCCAUUAGCCAGUUGGCGGGGUAACGGCCCACCAAGGCGACGAUGGAUAGGGGUUCUGAGAGGAAGGUCCCCCACAUUGGAACUGAGGCACGGUCCAA
RNAcentral lists this ribosomal RNA (243 nucleotides) under uncultured bacterium. RNAcentral's name for it is "partial 16S ribosomal RNA". It matches the Rfam family "Bacterial small subunit ribosomal RNA", at positions 95 to 334 of the family's 1533-position model. The record is from RNAcentral.